GACGAACGCUGGCGGCGUGCCUAAUACAUGCAAGUUGAGCGCUGACGGUUUGUACUUGUGCCCACUGGAUGAGCAGCGAACGGGUGAGUAACGCGUGGGUAAUCUUCCUCUUAGCGGGGGACAACAUUUGGAAACGAAUGCUAAUACCGCAUAAAACCUUUAAACACAGGUUUUAAGUUUGAAAGAUGCAAUUGCAUCACUCAAAGAUGAUCCCGCGUUUUAUUAGCUAGUUGGUGAGGUAAAGGCCCACCAAAGCGAGGAUACAUAGCCUACCUGAGAGGGUGAACCGCCAAAAUGGGAACGGGACAACGCCCAAGACUCCAAGGGAGGGAGCAGUAGGGAAUCUUUGGCAAAGGGGGGAAGUCUGAACGAGCACCGACGGGUGAGUGAAGAAGGGCUUCGGAUCGGAAAAGCCUGUUUGUAGAGAAGAAAGUGGGUGAGGGUGGAAAGCUCAUCAAGUGACGGUAACUAACGAGAAAGCAACGGCUAACUACGUG
This 497-nucleotide ribosomal RNA is filed under the name uncultured bacterium. RNAcentral's name for it is "partial 16S ribosomal RNA". It matches the Rfam family "Bacterial small subunit ribosomal RNA", at positions 28 to 507 of the family's 1533-position model. The record is from RNAcentral.